UACAGAGGUCUCAAGCGUUGUUCGGAUUCAUUGGGCGUAAAGGGUGCGUAGGUGGUGAUGCAAGUCUGCUGUGAAAACUCGGGGCUCAACCCCGAGACGUCGGUGGAAACCACCUGGCUAGAGUCCGGAAGAGGAGAGUGGAAUUCCUGGUGUAGCGGUGAAAUGCGCAGAUAUCAGGAAGAAUAUCCGUGGCGAAGGCGGCUCUCUGGUACGGCACUGACGCUGAGACGCGAAAGCGUGGGGAGCGAACAGG
RNAcentral lists this ribosomal RNA (253 nucleotides) under uncultured bacterium. RNAcentral describes it as "partial 16S ribosomal RNA". It matches the Rfam family "Bacterial small subunit ribosomal RNA", at positions 524 to 776 of the family's 1533-position model. The record is from RNAcentral.